CAUGCCGCGUGUGUGAAGAAGGCCUGCGGGUUGUAAAGCACUUUUAUCAGGGAAGAAACGGCCUGGGCCAAUACCCCAUGGCAAUUGACGGUACCUGAAGAAUAAGCACCGGCUAACUCCGUGCCAGCAGCCGCGGUAAUACGGAGGGUGCAAGCGUUAAUCGGAAUUACUGGGCGUAAAGCGUGCGCAGGCGGCUGAUUAAGUCAAAUGUGAAAGCCCUGGGCUUAACCUGGGAAUGGCAUUCGAUACUGGUCAGCUAGAGUUUGGUAGAGGUAAGCGGAAUUCCGGGUGUAGCGGUGAAAUGCGUAGAUAUCCGGAGGAACAUCAGUGGCGAAGGCGGCUUACUGGACCAAAACUGACGCUCAGGCACGAAAGCGUGGGUAGCAAACAGGAUUAGAUACCCUGGUAGUCCACGCCCUAAACUAUGUCAACUAGCCGUUGGGUCCCUUUAAUAGGACUUAGUGGCGAAGCUAACGCGUUAAGUUGACCGCCUGGGGAGUACGGCCGCAAGGUUGAAACCUCAAGGAAUUGACGGGGGCCCCCACAAGCGGUGGAGCAUGUGGUUUAAUUCGAUGCAACGCAAAGAACCUUACCACCCCCUUGACUCCUCGGAAACUUGGGAGAGAUACCUUGGUGCCCUUCCGGAACCAAGUGGACGGGGCCGGCAUGGCUGUCCUCCACCUCCUGCCCUGAAAAGGUUGGGUUAA
RNAcentral lists this ribosomal RNA (707 nucleotides) under uncultured Gammaproteobacteria bacterium. RNAcentral describes it as "bacterial SSU rRNA". It matches the Rfam family "Bacterial small subunit ribosomal RNA", at positions 393 to 1083 of the family's 1533-position model. The record is from RNAcentral. Lineage: Bacteria; Pseudomonadati; Pseudomonadota; Gammaproteobacteria.